RNAcentral lists this transfer RNA (74 nucleotides) under Moritella viscosa. Its description in RNAcentral is "transfer RNA-Arg". It matches the Rfam family "tRNA". Rfam says of the family: Transfer RNA (tRNA) molecules are approximately 80 nucleotides in length. Their secondary structure includes four short double-helical elements and three loops (D, anti-codon, and T loops). Lineage: Bacteria; Pseudomonadati; Pseudomonadota; Gammaproteobacteria; Alteromonadales; Moritellaceae. The record is from RNAcentral.
GCGUCCGUAGCUCAGUUGGAUAGAGCGCGCCCCUCCGGAGGGUGAGGUCGGAGGUUCGACUCCUCUCGGACGUA